RNAcentral lists this unclassified non-coding RNA (424 nucleotides) under soil metagenome. RNAcentral describes it as "partial contains 5.8S ribosomal RNA, internal transcribed spacer 2, and large subunit ribosomal RNA". The stretch from base 1 to 120 matches the Rfam family "5.8S ribosomal RNA", at positions 35 to 154 of the family's 154-position model. The record is from RNAcentral.
GAUGAAGAACGUAGCGAAAUGCGAUACGUAAUGUGAAUUGCAGAAUUCAGUGAAUCAUCGAAUCUUUGAACGCAUAUUGCGCUCUCUGGUAUUCCGGAGAGCAUGCUUGUUUGAGUAUCAGUAAACACCUCAACUCCCUUUCUUCUUGAAAUGGAGCUGGACUUGAGUGAUCCCAACGCUUUAUUCAUAAAGUGGCGGGUUACUUGAAAUGCAGGUGCAGCUGGACUUUUCUCUGAGCUAUAAGCAUAUCUAUUUAGUCUGCCUCAAAACAGAUUAUUACCUUUGCUGCAGCUAACAUAAAGGAGAUUAGUUCUUGUGCUGACUGAUGCAGGAUUCACAAAGACCGCUUCGGCUGUCUUUGUAAACUCGAUCUCAAAUCAAGUAAGACUACCCGCUGAACUUAAGCAUAUCAAUAAUCGGAGGA